RNAcentral lists this small RNA (83 nucleotides) under Marmota monax (woodchuck). Lineage: Eukaryota; Metazoa; Chordata; Mammalia; Rodentia; Sciuridae. The record is from RNAcentral.
GCUGGGUGUGGUAGCACUCACCUGUAAUCCCAGCUGCUCUGGAGGCUGAGGCAGGAGGAUCAUGAGUUGAAAACCAGCCUCAA